CCAAUAGCGUAUAUUAAAGUUGUUGCAGUUAAAAAGCUCGUAGUUGAAUUUCGGGAUCAAUGUUUCGGUCAUGCCGUUGGUAUGUACUGAUAUUAUUGAUUUCUCACCUUCUAAAGAACCGUAAUGCCAUUAAUUUGGUGUCACGGGGAAUUAGGACUGUUACCUUGAAAAAAUUAGAGUGUUUAAAGCAAGCUAACGCUUGAAUACAUUAGCAUGGAAUAAUGAAAUAGGACGUUCGAUCCUAUUUUGUUGGUUUCUAGGAUUGACGUAAUGAUUAAUA
RNAcentral lists this ribosomal RNA (280 nucleotides) under uncultured Glomus. Its description in RNAcentral is "partial 18S small subunit ribosomal RNA". It matches the Rfam family "Eukaryotic small subunit ribosomal RNA", at positions 591 to 874 of the family's 1831-position model. The record is from RNAcentral. Lineage: Eukaryota; Fungi; Glomeromycota; Glomeromycetes; Glomerales; Glomeraceae.